UAAAGGCCUACCAAGGCAGUGAUCUAUAGCUGGUCUGAGAGGAUGAUCAGCCACACUGGAACUGAGAUACGGUCCAGACUCCUACGGGAGGCAGCAGUGGGGAAUAUUGGACAAUGGGCGCAAGCCUGAUCCAGCUAUGCCGCGUGAGUGAGGAAGGCCUUAGGGUUGUAAAACUCUUUCAGUGGGGAAGAUAAUGACGGUACCCACAGAAGAAGUCCCGGCAAACUCCGUGCCAGCAGCCGCGGUAAUACGGAGGGGGCAAGCGUUGUUCGGAAUUAUUGGGCGUAAAGGGCAUGUAGGCGGUUCGGUAAGUUAAAGGUGAAAUGCCAGGGCUUAACCCUGGAGCUGCUUUUAAUACUGCCCAGACUCGAGUCCGGGA
This 379-nucleotide ribosomal RNA is filed under the name Anaplasma platys. RNAcentral's name for it is "bacterial SSU rRNA". It matches the Rfam family "Bacterial small subunit ribosomal RNA", at positions 258 to 653 of the family's 1533-position model. Lineage: Bacteria; Pseudomonadati; Pseudomonadota; Alphaproteobacteria; Rickettsiales; Anaplasmataceae. The record is from RNAcentral.